RNAcentral lists this long non-coding RNA (562 nucleotides) under Ananas comosus (pineapple). RNAcentral describes it as "long non-coding RNA (ACOM_LNC025260)". The record is from RNAcentral. Lineage: Eukaryota; Viridiplantae; Streptophyta; Magnoliopsida; Poales; Bromeliaceae.
CUUCGUGACAACAUCAACAUACCAACAUACUUAUCGACUGUUCUAAGAGUAAGUGGUAAAAGAUUUAGUGGUUGAUAUCCGAGAUUGUAAGUUCGAAUUCUAAUUGAUUCAUAUUUCUAGCUAAAUUUAUUUUUAAAUAAAAUAAACGAAACGGAUAGCAUGCUAUCUAUCUCUCUCAAAAAAGGAAAAAAAAAACAUAUCAACGUACCUCUAGGCUUCUUUUUUUUUUUCCAAAAUUAAAAAAUUACGAAAAUCUAAUCCCAAUUCAGCUGUGCCUCAAUUACUUGAUUAUAAAAUUUUUCAUUGAAUAAAUUGAUAUAUUAGUUGAAUUCAUAUAUAAGCAUUUGUUUCUAAUUAUAACCUAAGCAAUAAAUCUUAAAUAAAACCGACCGUCUCUAAAGCAAGUGACAAAGGAUUUGGUGGUUGGUACCGAGGUCCCAAGUUCGAAUCCUGGUUGAUUCACAUUUCUAACUAAGUUUAUUUCUAAAUGAAAAAAACGAAACGGGUAGCGUGCUACCUAUGUCUCAAAAAAAAAAAAAUCUUAAAUAAAUGCAGUACAUAU